AGGAAUAAAACACACAACUCUCCUCGCGACUACUUAAGAACUGUACUUACCCGCCUACUGUGUGAAUCUAUUGGUAGCAUGAGCAAAAUGACCAGAAUCGUACAUUUCUUCUUUAUCGUUCAAGCUUUGUUUUUUCUCGCCUGUCACGGAGACAGCACUCUUUCCGUCACUAACUAUGGCUCGCUUCAGAUAUCCAUGGUCCGGCAUGCUGAAUUAUACGCCACUAACAGAGUUGGAUACGCAUUUGAGGACGUACCACCAAGAUAUCAUGGCAUGACCCACGUAAGAGGCGUGAACGACAAGCAUGGCUCGGUAAAGUUCCAUGUGAACAUCGCAGUCAAGGUUUACCUGGCCGUCGACAGUCGCUAUCCAUACAUCCACGGCUCAAGUUAUCGCAAUACUGGGGAUCAAAUUAUGCUCGGAGGCACUCAUUCACGAACUCCAUUCUACAUCUACGAGAGCGUUGAUCCAUGUGGCCCGGGAACCGUCAAUGUUAACUUUCCGAAGUCCCGUAUGACGGCUAUAUUCUUGCGGAAUUCUCAGAAGGUCAAACCAGAGGCCGAUCUCUCACUGCGCAUGCACAACUCCGGCUGGGAAAUCAGUAUGGUUAGAGAAGGUGAAAAAUUCAGCUCGAAUAGGAAGUGCUACGCAAUGACCAACAUACCCCCGAGGUUCUACGGUAUGACGCAUCUYCGAGGGCCCAAUGACAAGCCAACAACGAUUACCUUCACUGUUAAUGUCCCUAUUAAACUAUACAUUGCAAUCGAUUCAAGGUACCCAAGCCCUCUUGACGCCAACCUGUACAAAAAGACUGGAGAGAAGAUUGUACACGGAGGAUGCCAUGCUCCGACGGACUUUCSUAUCUGGGAGAGACUGGUGCACGCUCCUGCAGACUGGUCACAAUUUGUCUGAAUACGACUCGUAUAAUGGGGCUGUUUGUGACACCACUUAUCUACGAUAACACAUUCAAAUCAGGUGUUUAUUCCUAAUUAUACGAAGGCUUUAAGUUAAUUACAGCUGAUAAAUAAAUAAAGAAAUGAAAAUAUGUAUUAAUUAAAUCAAUAAACAUGUUGAUUAACCAUGAGCUGAAUUAAUAGAUUCAUCUGCAAAAAUAAUUGAAAAAUCAUGUAUCAAAUUAACACUAAGGGAAUGGAGAAAUUAAAAAAAAGAAAACAUAAUG
This is an RNA transcript of Exaiptasia diaphana, 1180 nucleotides long. RefSeq lists it as uncharacterized. The transcript has 3 exons. Lineage: Eukaryota; Metazoa; Cnidaria; Anthozoa; Actiniaria; Aiptasiidae. The record is from RefSeq and is a predicted model, not a curated record.